This 494-nucleotide ribosomal RNA is filed under the name uncultured bacterium. RNAcentral's name for it is "bacterial SSU rRNA". It matches the Rfam family "Bacterial small subunit ribosomal RNA", at positions 29 to 518 of the family's 1533-position model. The record is from RNAcentral.
AUGAACGCUGGCGGCGUGCCUAAUACAUGCAAGUCGAACGGAGCACUUCGGUGCUUAGUGGCGAACGGGUGAGUAAUAUAUGAACAACCUACCCCUUUGACCGGGAUAACACACUGAAAAGCGUGCUAAUACCGGAUAGGCGAUCGAGAGGCAUCUCUUGAUUAUUAAAGGAGCGCAUGCUCCACAUUGGGAUGGGUUCAUAUCGCAUUAGCUAGUUGGUGAGGUAACGGCCCACCAAGGCGAUGAUGCGUAGCCGAUCUGAGAGGAUGACCGGCCACAUUGGGACUGAGACACGGCCCAGACUCCUACGGGAGGCAGCAGUAGGGAAUUUUCGGCAAUGGGCGCAAGCCUGACCGAGCAACGCCGCGUGAACGAUGAAGGUCUUAUGGAAUUGUAAAGUUCUGUUACGAGGGAAGAACAGCACUGAUAGGAAAUGAUCAGUGUGUGACGGUACCUCGCCAGAAAGCCACGGCUAACUACGUGCCAGCAGCAGC